RNAcentral lists this transfer RNA (72 nucleotides) under bacterium. RNAcentral's name for it is "tRNA-Val". It matches the Rfam family "tRNA". From Rfam's summary of the family: Transfer RNA (tRNA) molecules are approximately 80 nucleotides in length. Their secondary structure includes four short double-helical elements and three loops (D, anti-codon, and T loops). The record is from RNAcentral.
GGACGGUUAGCUCAACGGCAGAGCAUGCGGUUUACAUCCGCAGGGUUGCAGGUUCGAAUCCUGCACCGUCCA